GUUUAGCUGUGGCUCAGCUGGUAGAGCAGUGGGUCAACAACGCAAAGGUAAUGGGUUCAAAUCCUACAGAAACU
Molecule: non-coding RNA, 74 nt
Organism: Danionella cerebrum
Lineage: Eukaryota; Metazoa; Chordata; Actinopteri; Cypriniformes; Danionidae
Source: the annotation of a GenBank genome assembly